Passer domesticus (house sparrow) is the source of this 16988-nucleotide long non-coding RNA. RefSeq lists it as uncharacterized. Lineage: Eukaryota; Metazoa; Chordata; Aves; Passeriformes; Passeridae. The record is from RefSeq and is a predicted model, not a curated record. The transcript has 6 exons.
UCCCCUUGACCAAAGGGGCACAGAGGCCCAGAUCAUUGCAUGGAUGGAAUGUCAUGCUCACUGGGUUUGCUCCAUGCCUAUGGGAAGAGCUCACCUCUCCUUCCCACUCUGCCCACAGUGGUACUUGCAGCCACAGUACAUCAUCCCAUGAGCAGCAGAGGAAAUUCUGACUGAGAAAACACUGCCAACUCAGGUCUUCUGAGAUUCACAGGAUAAGAUUAAAAGGAUAUAUUUAGCAGCACUGUAAUUUCUUUUUCCAGAAUCUCAUUUAAAGACCAAAUGUUUACAGUUCUACCUCAGAAAAAUGUGAAGACAUUUGAGAUCCUGCACUCUGGUUUGCAAGGCUUUACUAUGUUACCAUCAUAUAUCCUCUAAUCACAGAGCAGUUAACACUCAGCCACAGAUAACACAUUACAGGAUCCAGCUGCAUCUCUAGAAAAUGACAUUUGCAUCUAAAUUUAGGUGUCUGAGCUCCUAUUUCAAUCAAUGGAGCUCAGGGCUCAAUCUGGGUCCCUGAACAUCAGGCACCCCAUUUCAAGGGGUCUUCAGUGAAUCAUCUGAGAUAUCUGCAUGGAGCUGGUGGAUGUGACCCAAAGCCUGCACAUCCUGAAGAGGCAGAUGUGUCCUCUGAAGUUGGGACUGAUGGCACUUGACACUGCAGCAAGCCCACACUCCUGCCUUUCUCAUGGGCAGUGCUGAAGGCUUCAGAGAAAAGCAGUCUUUGGUGACAGUGGAAGAAGCUAAAGAAGAAUUUGUCUCUGUGUGUGUGUCAAUUAACACUUCAGAGAUGACUGAUCCUGAGGACCAAUCACAUGAAGGAAAAAGUUACCAUUGAGUCUAGAAGUCCUGGACAAGGUGCCUAUAGACUCUCUGAAACACAUCCAUGGAAAUGAUGCUUUUAAAAAUUGCAGCAAGGCUUGUGACUGGAGCCUCCUGUGCCCACACACUGCCAGGUCCUUAGAGAGCAAGAAACCAUCUCUCUUCAGUCCAGUACUUGUGCCUGCAGUGGAGGAGGGCAGCAAAACCUGAGCACAUCUGUUUUGUUUGAGGACAAAACCACCAGAAAACCAGACGGUUUUAAGAAGAUCUUACUUGGGUGCUUUCCAAAUAGUACACAGUCUUGUAGGAGAAACUGUUUUCUUGAGGAAUGACCCUUAUAUUUAUAUAGUCAAGUCGUCACUUGGACAUAGAUGUAAAACCUUCUCAAAACAAAUACUAUCUUUGUCCCUUAUCUGGGGACAGAGGGAGAAAUAAACAUCCUAGGAUGGAGAUGAGCCAUUCUUCACCAACAGGCAAGAAUUUUAUAUCAUUAAUUCAUCAACUUCUACAUUAAUUAUGUUUCAUUAUCUCUUGGAGUUCCUCAUGUGGACAGAUAAGAUCAUUUCACAUGAGAAAACAGACUAAUUUGAUAAAUAGAUAGCUUUGCUGAAUGAGAAUGAACAUUUUAAUAAAUGUUUACGCAAGUUUUCCAUUUGAUUAAUUUUGCAGUGACACAUGGGGAGAAGAAAUGUACAAAAAAUAAACAGGUCCUUUAGACUGAUGUAAGAAAACAGCCAACCACUAUUGGAGAAUGUUUAGCUAUGAACAAUUAAAGGAACUGACCUAAAUGUUAGCUCCAUGGCCUGUGUAUGAAGGCAAGCCUGACCACCCUGGAUGCUGCACGCUCAGCUCAGUGCUGUGUCACAGAAGUGGUUGCAGCAGAAGAGCAGUGUCAUAGGCACUGAGUUAUGUCCUCUCCACCAGACUGGAACAGAAACUGCUGGGAAAGCUUCACUUUGUUUAUCUUUGCAGGAGGGAUGUAUUUGCCCUCUUUAAAUCACAGCAGGAGACUUUAUCUCAAAGCUGUGAUGUAGCCAUUGCUGAGUAGUCCUCAUUAAUGAGGCUUGUGGUUAAAGGAACCUGUUAAAAAGUUCCAAUAUCAGAUAAGAAAGAAAAGUGCCCUGGGAAGGACUUGGUUUUUUCCCAAAUGAAUUGGCCGUUUAUUGAGCUUUGUUUGUUGAAGGCUCCCAUUUGACCAUCAAGGCUGUGUAUUUUUGUUCAAGGACACGAUAAGCAAAGUCUGAUGUAUGCCUUCAAUGCUUUUACAGAAUGGGCAGUCUGUCUCUCCCUGAUUUUCUGUGUUUUGAGUACAGUUCUACUGGCAACAGAGCAAUGAAUACAAAGUCUCUUGUAUAAUUUUCCUGGCAGCAAGGAAUAAAUUAUGUACUAAUGCUUUGGCUCUUGAAGGAUUAUUAAUUAACAUGUAUGAAUAACUGAAUUGUAGUUCAGUAGAAGGGGAAAAUACCGUGGCAGAUGAUUCAGUUAAUGCGGUCCAAAUUAUCUUACCCCAAAAUAUUUAUAAAAAGUGGAACCCUGAUUAAUUUUGUGUGUGUUUAACCAGAUCAGAGCCAUGAUCAGAGAGAUCUAGGACUUCCAGCUUCUAGUAGGACCCACUCAGAGCAGUGGUCCAGAGAGGAGGAGUUGUUGAAGUGCAGAAUCUACUGCACAUUUCAGAUUCCUGUGCAGUGAGGGAGGGAGUGAGAUAGCAAGCUGACCAGUCUUGUGUCAGUGUUUAUAGCAACCAGGACAGGCCCUUCAAGUUGGACUUAUGGCCAGGUUCUGACAGAAACCUAGAGGGGAACAGCUGAGAGCUGCACUUAACAGAAGGAGCAGCAGUAAAAUCAGCCUCAUUUCCUUUGCAGAAGCUACUGUUAUUUUUCAGUUGGUUUUAAUAUAUUUUUAAUAAUACCAUACAGUUGCUUUUAUAAUUAAAACCUGAAGUGAAGGACUGAUGCCCAGCUUUUCCCUUCUCAACAGAAAGAGAUGUUUACUGUCAUACUCUCUGGAUAGCAAUGCAAGGCAUUCAUGUAUGCAUAAAGGCCAGAGAACCUUUUCACAGCUAAAUAGGAAGAAAGGGAACUUAAUGCAGAAAUUUAACAACUAUGGCAUUUAAAGAAGUAUGUAGUGCUGCCUGUUUCUGGGUUAGCAAAACUUAAAGUAGGACUUUCCAUUAAAGUAGCAGGAAUUCAGUGUCAUUAUCAUAUGGUUUUAGAUUAGCCUCUAAUAUCUGCUGCAUUGAUUCCUAUUGGCUAAAAAAAAUGUUUCUAUCAAGGGGGAAAACCUAUGGCAAAUCAGAAAUGACUUUUAGAAUUUCUUUCCAAGGAACAUUUUUUAAGGUUUUCUGUUUGUUAGAUCAUCAGAUAUUUUACAAACAAAACUAAACCAAACAAAAACCAGGACCCAUAAUUUUUCAAAUGGAAAAGGCUAAAAAAUCAAACCAGCCAAGAAUGGUAAGAAAACAUUUCAGAUCUAAGGGCAACCAGAUGGCCGAAAUUACUGGUGGUUCAUAGAUUUUUACUUAAAAUAGGGGAACGUGAACAGGACUAAUAAGCUACAAAUUAAAAACACACAUUAAUAUGAGAGGUUGUGGGUUCUAGAACUUAGGCUCUAGGAGGUAUUUUCUCAGUAAAUUUGCUGUGAGCUUGGGAUACUAUUUGUUCUAAGUCUUUUGCAGACAUCAUUUGACUACAGGUUUGGGUUUUAUUCCUUUGCAGUCCUGAAAAUUAAAGGACAAGAUUGCACUUGAGUUUGUAAUUAUGCAUUGCAUAUCUAACCUAAGUAAUUUUGUCCCUUUUCUAGGGGUCAAUUUUCUUAAGGGGAAAUGGAAAUACUUGCUUUCUUCAUAGUAGUGUGGUGCAUCUUUAUGUAUAGAAACACCUUUAGGUCUCCAUAUGGGAGGCACCCCAGAACAAAAGUGUACAUGAAAAGCAUUCAUAAGUUGAAUUCAGGUCACCUAACUUAGGCAACUAACUAGUGGCUAAAGUUUGGAAUCUAAUAUAUAUUAGGGAACAACAUUCCCUGUACAAAAAAUGGAGAGAAGCAAGUUAUUGAAGACUCCUUGGAUGGAGGUCUUCCUUGCACAUCUGCAUUAGAAAGAAGAAUUUUGUUCUGAAAGUCUUCUGAGGCAUUUUCUUUACUUCACGGACAACUUCGGCAUGUAAGAAUUACUUUUUAGGUUCUAAAAUUAUGACACAAUUUCCUUCUUGUGCAGGAUGGUUCCUAUCUAGUGUUUUCACACUUACAAUGAGAACUGCUAAGUUUUUGAAUGUUUGUCCAUGAGUUGGGUUAAACACAGCAGUGAAAUGACAAGCACAACCACCUGGGGUAUUUUUUUUUUAAACACUGAAGUGAAAACUUUUUAUUCGAAUAUUCAAAGAGAAGCUUGAAAAAUAGAGCAGGCUGUUUUAUUUGAUCAUUGAACUCAUCAUUUCAUAGAUGGCUGCUGCAAUAAGCAACCUCUCCCUGUAAUUGUGGUACUGCACAGUUGCUGCUGUCUCAAGUUGGUUGGCUCAUCUGAGAUGGGAGUCAAAGUAUGCUGCCUGUUUUAGUAUUUAAUCCCAACAGUUUAGAACAACCACAGUUUUAUAAGCAUAUAAUUCAUUUCAGUUUCCUAUGACAGUCUUAAAGGUUUUCAUGGUCAUCCCAGUUUUCAAAGAUUAACUUUACAGGGCACCAGAAGCUUACAUGAACACCACUUUGUACAUUCCCUCUCCAUAUUUUCCACCUCCCAGAUUAGGUACAUUCUGCUGUCUUGCAUGUUGUACAGGUCAAUACCAUCCAACUUCUCACUUAGCCCUCUGUUUAGGGGUCUAUGUUGGCCAGUCUGGCUUUCAGCAGUGACGCAGCUUUAUUAUAAUAAUGCAUUUUAAUUUACAGGCAUCCACGCCUGAAGCAUCUUAACAAAAACAACUAAAAUCUAAAUGGCAAUAAACAAAGGCAAAAGAGCACUUGGAAGCCAAGAACUUAAAAUCCCUGCAAAACAAAACAGGAAAGGAAAUGAGAAUGUCAGAAGCCUUGCCUAAAAAAGUGUUCUGGCAUAAGCAAGAGACAGUGUGUUCCUGGGCCGAGGGAGGAGACCAUCUCUUUUGACCUUCUAACAGAAAAUUACCAACAUCAGCUUGAAUUACUGAGAAAGGGCACGGAGGUACAAGAGGUGGGUUUCUCUUACCUCAGAACAGGGAACUUCAUCGGAAAAGACAUAAUAAUCUUGAAGCUAUGUUGUCCAAUUUUGCUUCCCUGAAAAGAUUCACUGCAAAUCUGUCUUUCCCUCUAGGUUUUGUUUCAUUUGUUUGAAAAUAUAGCAAUAGAUCUUUCAAAAGGCUGUGAUGGCCCUGCCAAUUUGAGUUUAAGUUAGCUAAUUUUGAGAAUACUAAGAUUACUAGAAUACUAGAAUUAACUAAUUUUGAGCUAUACUGUGUAUGCACACAUAUAUAUCUAUGCUACACAUAUAUAGCUAUCUACGCUGUAUGUACAGUAACUACAUCAGAACCCAAAGGAUUAGUAGGUUUAAGAAAAACACAGAAAGUGUAUUAGCUUAGCUUUUUUUUAAUCUCUUCAACAGCAUUUUUUAAAAUCAAUUCUAUUAUUUCUGUGCCUCAAAUGUCUGAUCUGUGAAGUGAGAAUACUUAUCUGGUAUGAUGGAAAAUACCAUCAACAUGGUAAAUCUCUUCUUCACUUAAUUCUGUCUGUAGCAAAUCCUAGCCUUCGCUUGGAGCUCUGCCUUGUGGCACACUAAGCUCCUCUGCUCUGCCAGGGUCCCCUCCAGCACCUUUCCUGAGUCAAUUGAAAUUUUAACAAAGCCCUUGACUGGAGGUUUUCUCCCUGCUUUGGAGAAGCUAAUGCCAAUUUUAAAAAAAUCCACUGAAAAAACUUUAAAAAAUGAGGCGUUUGGGUUUUCAGCCUGUAAUUACAGCAUCAGUUCCCUUUUAUGCUUCUAAAUUACAGAGAAGCAAACGAUCCUGUUUUCUGAUGUUUUAUUUUUUUUAAAUUACUCAGUGGCUUUGUGGGGAAAGAGUAACUGAAUAUUUUUGGUGGUGUUAUAUAGGCAACGCCUUCCCCAUUAGCUCUUAGGAAGUGAUUCUUCCUCACUCCCUAAGGUUCACUUCAGGAGGAAUGGAAAUUAAUCCAUUUAAAGAGAAGUGGUAAUAAAAAAUGUCCCCUUUCCAUGGUUUAGCCAGCUUGAAACAAACUCUUAAAAAUGUGCACAUCAUUUUUAACAGAGGCUUUGCAUUAACGAGGAUUAAGCAGGCUCUGUUCUUGUUUCAAAACAUAAUUUUCUGGGUAGCCUUGCAGCAUGGUUGGCAUGGGCCUUGGCGCAAAGAAUGAAAUGGCGCCUUCAUGCCAGACAGCCAGAAAUGUCACCCCACCUACCCGUACUGGUUCAGCCCAGCUUGGCACCCACGUGGCCUUGCUCCAGCUGCAUCACUCAUGCAGAUGCUGACAGCUUUGCUGGAUCCAGCUGUAGCCUGAAGAAACAUGUUGAGAUGUUUUUAGAGGUUAUAGUGACUAUUGAUCCAUCUUCAGCAAUGGUAAGUUAUUGGUUUCUGUGGAGGUCUUCCCUUUUGCUGUUAUUUUUCACCAUCUCUCCAAUUUUAGCGUGUCUGUAUUUCAGGUUUCCCCCUUUACACCAAGCACCUGGCUUUCAGCUGAUUGCUAUGACAGCCUGUCUCACAGUUUACACCAGCAGCUGUCCCCCAAAGUCAUUGUAUGAUAACAGGAGGGCUGGGUGGCAGAAGCUGGGUUGCCAAGGAGAGAGUGAAAAAAAUUUGCAGCACCUUCAUGUUUAAUAUUUAAUCACUGCAUCCAGAUAAUGUCCAAGCUGAGGAGUUGCACACUGCUGGUAGAGCACACAGCACGUUCAUCCAUCCCACCAGUUCACCAGACUGUAGAAUAAAAUGGAAUAGAAAAGAGUAAAUAGAAUAGAAUAGAAUAGAAUAGAAUAGAAUAGAAUAGAUUUCAAUACUAUAGUACAGAGAGAAGGGAUCUGCAAGAAUCAUUUAGUCCAACUGCCUGAACAAUUCAGCACUGACCAAGUUAAAUCCUAUUAUUAAUGACAUUGUCAAAAUGCUUCUUAAAUACUCAGAGGCUUGGGGCAUUGACCAUCUCUCUAAGAAGCCUAAUUCAGUGUUUAAACACCUCUCGGUAAAGAAGUACUUUCUAAUGUCCAGUCUAAACAUCCCCUGGUGCAGCUUUGAACUCUUUCCACAUGAUCUAUCACUGGAUACUAGGGAGAAAAGAUGAUCACCUCCCUCUUCCUUUCCUGAGGAAGGCACUCCUCUCCCAGUUUAUUCUUGUGCUUGGCAUUACUUCAUCCUAAGUGCAGAGUCCGAAUUUUAUCCUGUUAAUGAUAGCUCAAAUCUCCAAUGUAUCUAGAUCCCUCUUCAAGGCAUCUUGUCUCUGAAGUGACUCAAUAACACCUCCCACUUUGCUAUCACCAGCAACAUUUCUAGUGGUGCACACAGCUGGGCUGACAGUGCAUAGAGCUGGGCAUUAAAUCCACUCAAACAUGCUUGUGCUGUCUGUCCAUCUCACGGAACCAUUGUUCCUGCCAUGCCUUUCCUAACUUUCAAAGCCAGUUUGUACAGGUCUUUGCAACCAGCAGGACGUGUGUGACAUUGCUGAAAUGCAGUCGUGGGCCCAUAGCCAUGAAAUUGUGCCUAUUCAUGAUUUUUUUUCCAGCAUGGGAAAUGAGCAGCAUAGACGUGUCAAUUAGUGAGUUGUCUCAAUUUACUGCUUGGUUCAAAGAAAACAUUAAGCAUUUCAGAGAUUCUAAUUUCUAAAGCAUUUCUCCAAUAACUCAUGGAUUUUUAUUUAUUUAUGGAUCAGUAACUGGUUUGAUUCAUUUCUGGUGUUUUUUGCCCAGGCUGUUCUGUUGUACCUGGACGAUGAUCCAGCCAGACCAUUGACUUUAAUAAAGUCUAGAAUUAUCUUUGGACCCCAGACUUGCCAGAUGGCAAAAAAAUGAACACUUUCCACCACUUUUAGAUUUUAAUUUUCCUGGGCUAUGGCAGACAUUUUAAUAUACAAAAAUUACUAAAUCUCUGAUUUACAGUCAGGCCUUCUUAUUCUUUUAAUAUUACUUUUUAUUUUAAAUUUACUUUUCUUUAGUUUAUUGUACUCAGUUUACACAUACUCUUUAAGUCUUGCUUCCUUCCAGAAUUACCAUAAUAUUGUUUUGUGUCAGCCUCAUGGAAAUAAGGCUGGAUGAAAACUAAUCCAGUGGCUGUUGCACACAAGUUAGGAAAAUCUCAUAGGCAGCGAAAUUCCUUUUUUUUUUUUGAUUAUUAAAAUUGUAUUAUAAACUAUAUUGCACUGUGGUGAAUCAUAUAUUAUUUGUAAUGCGCUUUUAGUUGCUUUUAUAUGACUAGAUAUGUGGCUGGGUUUCAUGUAUUUUGUCAUUGCAGACUGGAGCAAUAAAAUGAGAAAGAAGUAAUCAUUCUCUAUGGCAUUUUUAACAAAAUCUGAUUUUUCCUUUGAGAACCUCCAGGAAAAAAUCACUAUUCUCUGUCCAUCUUGCUACAGAAAAAAACAAGUCCACAACACCUUCAGGUCAUUAUAUGGUCCAUUGUUGCAACACUGGGAUUAAAUUUUGACCCAAAUAGCAAUUGUCCAGUCCCUUGUAAAACACAGGAAACAAAAGAGCUUUCACAGCUGUAGGUAGGGGCAACAAUUUAAUUUUGGCCUGCAAAUUUGCAGAGGUGAGCUUUUCCACAAAGAGUCCAGUGCUUCCUUAGCCACUGCUCAGCAGAAAGGGAUGAUUUUGGCUGCCCAGCCCAAAUGUCCAUUCAGGCUGUGCCUGUGCUCACCCAGAUCGCAUGUUCACACUCCAGGCACCCCCCUGAGAUGGCCCUGCUGGGACAGAGAGCUGCUGUGCUGGGCGAGGGCUGCCAUGAGCAGGGCAGCCCUGGUCUGGGGCAGCCCCACCCAGCAGGCUGCUCCCUGCACGCCUGGGGCUAUUGUGGAUCAAUCGAGAAAUGAACGUUCAAAAGGCUGUUUGCUUCGGUGGUGCUUGGCCACUCAUCCUCGUGCAGCUUCCAGGAGAGUCUGCAAGGCUGAGCAGGGUCUGCAGAGGUGGUGCAGAGGGCAUCCUUCUCUCUGGUGAAGGGAAAGGGACAGCAGGAGAGAGGAGGCAGCUGAGAGAUAAAUAUCAUGGAAAGAUAGAACUGGGAGGGAAACUUGUGUUAGUUCACCUCAUUCACCACUAUUACCAGAAACUGAGAUUAGUUUAUUCAGAUUGUGGAGCCUAAGGAUUUGGUUGUCAACUAACGUGUGAGAGGGAGAAGUGAAAGCUGUGGGGAUGGUGAGAUGUGGGGAGCUUGAGGACUGACACUGCAGGGACACCCCUGGGUCACAGGGAGGACGACACAAGGGUGUGUGGGUGGGAGGCGUGAAUGGAAAUGUGUAGGGGAAGGCAAAAGGCCUUCUGUAAUCUAGCCAAGGCACCAGAAAUACAGAGUACCCUCAGGCUGCUUGGGAAAUCCAUAGGGCUUGGACACCAGUAAAUGGUUGUUCCCUGUGUUUCAUGUUCCUAGAAUGGGGACAGUCAGGGCCAGCUGGUACGUGCCCAGCUGAGGCUGGGACAUGGCUUAGAGGCCACCACUGCCGGAGACCAUGUCUGUAUGGGGCCAGGACGUGCUCCAGACACCUGCCCAAGGGGAAAAAGGGGGUAGUACUUCAGGACAUACAAUGAAAGAGGACAUUUAGCCAUGUUUGGGGGGAUGCAACUUUGAGUAAUAUCAUUCAGUCUUGCAAAAUGAUUCUUAGUAAUAGGUGAGUUUGAUGUGUCAAUAAGAAAACCUUUUUUUUAAUCUCCAUUAUAUUUCUGAUAAAACAUUUAAAUUUAUCAAGUCUGAAUUAGAGUUUCAUUGCUCAUGGGAGCCAUAGAGUGGGAGAAAUUGUGUUCUGGUGCCAGAAUCAACUCUUAAUUCCAGUUUGAUCCAGGUGUUCCCAGAGAGAUGCACUUUCUGUAUCAUUUCAAAGAGAAGGUUUGGGCAUUAUAUGAGAUUGAGAGAUAGAUAUAUGCUUUCUUCCUGGCGGAAAGGAGAUUUAUUUUGCAGAAUGGCCCAAACCAUGACUUUGCCAUCAGACCUUCAUGCAGGAGUGACUGGCAUAGUCUGUAUAGACUGUACUCACCACUUCUGACUAUCAAGAGGACAAAGAAAUAUGCUGAUACCUUGAUUUUUUUCCAGGUGCACAGGAGUCACAGAGCUGUCAGCAAUCUCAGAAAAUGGUUUUAUUGGUUUCCUUCUUGCUGUAGCAAUUCUUUUCUUUCAAAGAGCCAAAGUAGAUGAGAUAACCAGAAGUGGCAAAGGGAGAACAAGACAAAUGAGUGAAAGUAAGAAAUUCCAAAAGGCUCCAAGUCAUUUAUUUAAAUCUUCUUGGAAAAUAAAUUUUGAUGCCUACCUUCGGCCUAAUGAUUGGCUGCAGGAUGCACUUGCUUCUCCAAGCAUUUAGGUAUAGGUAUUUUAAUGAGAUGAUGGGGUGGAAAAUAUGAUACAGUCAAUACAUUGUGUAACCCUUCAUGUUAAAGGAAAAUUUUAUUAUGAUGAGUAGAUUGAUUAUCAUUUGUUUGUGAGGGUGAUUUAAUAGACUUCUGGUUUGCUAUUGGAAUAAAUGACUCUUCAACAAUCUUGGGUCUAUUUUCAGGCCUGUGGUGCUUUGACAACAGUAGCCAGUACCUUACUGGGAGCUGAGUUCAACAGUAAAACCAUAAAAGACAGCAUCAUGGCCUCUAGAUGGUUUGGUUGUUGGAAGAGCUUACUGGAUUUUAUCUUGGAGGGAGAUGGGAAACAUGCAGACACAAAUAGCUCAGACUGAGAUGGGCACAAUAAAUAAGGCCAUGUUACAUUUCUUGAGGGUAUCUCAGUAAAAACUAAAUUAACAUCACUAUUAAUUGGGAGCCAUGCUUUUAAGUUCAGUUAAGUUUAAGCCUAUUUUUUGUGAAACAGUUUAAGGAAUUCCUAAGUAAAAAGACUCUGUUAGUAACAUCAAGGCUGACAUAAAAGCUUUGUAAUCACAAAUGCAUCUUUUGGCUCUCAGCAUAUGCUUUUUCUGAAGUCUUGCCUUCUUAGGCAGGAAUAAUUUCAACAGUAAUCUGUUUUGUUGCUCAUUUGGAUUCUACGUUUGGAUAAAAGAGAUGAGAUCCCAAAGUGGUAGUGUAUGGUGAGCACCAUCAAGGAAUAUUGGGGAAGGUUAUUCAGGUACAUAAGACAUGUUAAUAUCAUCAGGUUGCAUAGCUGAGACAUUAUUUUUCAUGCUAGUUCAUGCCCAUGGAGGUCAGUUAAUCCAGAAUUAUAUGGUGUAUUGACAUUUUUUCAUGUUCUUUACUGAAAUUGAUUACCAUAAUUCAACACCUUGGAGCACUAAGAAAUAUACAUAAAAUGUGUCAGACUUGAGUGAGGUAUGUAUUCUGUAUUCAGUCCAUGGACUUGAAGAUUGUUCUUCCGCAAUUCUUCACACCACGUUAUUGCCUUUCUUUGGGUAACACUCUCUCAGUCUCUCCUAUUUUGUUUUAUACCAGCAGUGGUAUAUUUCCAGGAGCCAAGGACUUGACUUCAGAUCUCUCACACCCUAUGUGCCUUUACAAACAGUUAUGGAAACUGAGCAGCCUGUUUUCACUGGAAAUUCCAGAUUGGCAAGACUGAGCUGUCUAAUGAGGUGGAAUCCCUUCAUCCUAAAUCUCUGGAAGCUUCUACUGUCUGGAAAAAAGGCUUUUGUGAGAAAUCAUUUAUUCUUAAUUAAUUUUUAUCACUACUUUAUCUUAAUCAGAAAAAGAAAACAUGAAAGAAGUAUAAAGACAUUUACUUAGUCUUGUUUUAUAUAAGUAAAUGAGGGAUUUUCUUGUAAAUUGUGUUUACUAAAACUGAAAGUUUAAGGAUUAUUUAAUAGCAAAAUCAAGAUAAACAAUCGUGCAAUUCUGAAUAUACCUAGUGUCUAUUUCUGAAUGUUGAGCUGAACAUAUUAGAUCAGCAUUAGAAUUUCAGCAUUUGAACUGAAGAAUUAGGGACUGUAAAAUUUAGCAAACACUCCAACCAAGCUGAAAUGUCACAUUAGUAAAGAAAAGAAAUAAAGCCAGGCUGUGUUUAUCCACCUGCUUUAAAGCAACUUUUGUGCAUGUGUUAACAAAGUGGACAGUGCCUUUGGAAUAACAAUCCUUGUGAGUACUGGGUGUGUAACAGGAAGGAUUUAUUUUUUUUAAUGUUCAGUGGAGAAAAUAGAAAGAUUUGUCCACCCUGAUGCUAAAAAUACAGAAUAAUUAUCAUUGAGGCAGGUGCACUUCUGACCUAAGCAUGCAUGCACACCAUGUAUUUUCAGGUCCUCUUUGUUAGAAUAAAUAGAUUAUUUUUUCCCUCAAGUACAGACUUUAAAAGCAGAUACAAAUGGCUUUCCCGGGGAAGGAAAAACAGUCCCAGAGAGGCAGAGGAAAAUGGAGUCUAGAUGCAUUUGACACCUUGUUGCACUGUUUCUUCCCCAGUGACUGUGAAGCAUGUGCCACAACCCCUCUGGAGAUGGUGCCAGGUGAGCCGGACUGUGGUGACAUAGGAGUCAUACAUACACCAUGUAUGGCCUCUCCUCCUUUUGGCCAAGUCCAACAUAGCACAAAGAUACACCGUGGCAUUCACAGAAUCACAGAAUCACAGAAUGGCUGGGGACAGACAGAACCUCUGGAGGUUAACUGAUAUAACCCCCCUGUUGAAACAGGGCCACCUAGGGCCAGUCAUCCUGGACUGCAUCCAGAAAUGUUUCAAAUACUUCUAAGGAUGCAGACUCCAAAACCUCCCUGGUUAAUCUCUUCCAGAGUUCAGUCAUCCUCACAGUAAAAAAAAAGUUUUGUUUGUUUGUUUGGGUUUUUUUUCUUUUCUUCAUUCUCAUAAGACAACAUGAAUAAAACCCCUGAUGUUCAUAAGUGAUCUCCUGUUUUCCAGUUUUUGUUCAUUGCCCAUUGGGACAUUCUGUCUGGAGUCAUAAUAUAGGAGUAUAUGUGAAGUCAAUGCAUAUUCAGCCUGCAUAUUUUUGGUGAAAGAAGGAGAAAUUUGCUGCUUGCUUUCUUCUGCUUGAGUUCUGGUUCAGUUUGUCAGUGUGUUUCACUUCUACUUUCCUCCUUUCCUUCUCAGGGUGCAGUUGUGGUCUUUACCUCUAAGCAUGCAGGUCACAAACAGCCGCCUCUGGAACAGGUCUUUUGUGACCAAGAGAGUAUCUAACACGUGUGAGAUGCUCCUUGUGAGAGCUACAGCACAGCAUUGUAUUCCAAACUGCUCCUUUAAUUAUACUGACUCCUAUUUUAUCCUUGCUCCUUCACUAUUGUCUACUCUUCCUGCAAUCCUAGUCCCCUGCACUUCCCUCAGACCUCUUUUUCUUCUCAGCCAUUUUUUAAUAGAAGAUUAUGUAGCCAUGGAACUGCUGUUCAGCAUGGACAAUUGGAUGAACUGCCUGCAGAAGACACAUUUCAGACUGCUUCUCCAUGUCCAUGAAGCCAGUGAGGCUUCAGACUGGAAACACAGUUUUAUUUCUUUCCGCCUCACUGAGGAGUGCAUGGCUGGGAGAAAAAAGAUGGGAGAGAUUUUGGUGUACUUGAUCAUAGAUACCAGGGAGAGCUGAAAGCCUGGGCCCUAAUCACAGGUGUGCCAGAGUCAAAAGGGGGCUCACAUCCAGGAUAUAGGUCUGGUCAAAUAUCUUCAGUGUGUCAGCUCUUCUGAAACAUUUCAUCACUACAUCGUUCCUCAUCGUCUAUUCCAGGGCCACAGGAAGAAGGACAAGUUACACUCUGCAAGUGUCAAGGCCUUUUUUGAUUCAGAGCAGUGUGAAUGCACAUAGGCUGCUAAAGCAGAAACAUCAGCAGUUAUUAAAAAAUGAAGACCUUUCUUCCAGAAAGGGCUAAAUAACUGAUUUCCUUCAUGCCUGGUUAUUCAUUUGUGUAAUAAAAACCAGCUACACUUCUGAGAGAGAAAUAGUCUUACACAAUGGCAAAGAAAGGCCACUUUCACUGUUUGUUCAACCUGAAUUUUUGUCUGGAAUAAAAAGUAAUGGAUUACCCAGGUAAAAAAAAAGCCAUGUAAAAAUGUCUGUAUUUGAGCUGUUUUGAAAGUAAUCAACACCCAGAUUGUGCUCUCACUUGGUAAGAAAAGCUCCUUUAAUACCUUCUGCCAACUCUCUUAAAAGUUUGGCUUCUCUUCUGAAGAGAUUUAGGAGUGCAGGCAAAAUCCUUCUUACUUUGCAACUUUGGGCCCUAUUUGUUUUGGAUAUGAUGGUUAGUGGGUUUGAUUCACUAAUCUGACUUUAUUAAGAGGAUGUACAAGUUAUCCCACAAAGAACAGCCUGCAAGACAGAGAAAAACAGGGGUGCACCAGGGAUGGGGGACUUACACAAACCAAACCUACCAUAAUGUAACAAAAUCGGGGCUUGCUAGAAAACGAAAUGGAUCUAAGCCAAGGAUAAAUGAGUUCAUCUUAUUCCUCACAGUCCUCUCAGGCAGAAGAUGAAGGCAGCUGACAGAAGACACUUGCUACAGUCAGAAAUCUAGGGAUACCUUCAGUCCCCAUUUUCUUUAGUCUUUCUUCAUUGUAGGCUGUUUUAAGCCAGUACUUUUAGUCCUUUUUGCACAGAGCAACUAAAUAGUUCUGUCUACGUCCCACAAAUUGUAUGUGACAGUGCCUGCUAAAGGAAACCUGUUCUGCAUCCAUUUAAACUAAGAAGAUACAUCCACAAUAUAUCUGCACUAAGAUCACGGGAGUUUUUUCUAAGCAAACAGAUCUAACCACUUGUUGUAUAACCAUAAACACACACGAUUUAUGCACAAUGUAAUUAUUUCUGAAGGUUUAGAUAAUUUUCCCCCUAAUUUUAAAGGUAAAUACAACUUUUUUGUGAAUGGAAACCACUCCACUUAGUGCACUCAAGUGGAGUUGACAUCCAUGUUACACUUCAGCUCAUCUCUUUUAUGCUUAGAAAAGAAAAACAGGAUUAAGAAAAGAAUUUAUGUUUUUUGUUUAUUUAUGUUUUUCUCUUUUGUUUUAAUUUAAAAUGCUUUAAGUUAAACAUAUGACAUUUUGUUUGACUUGGUUUAACUUCAAAUAAAUUUGUCUUUUUAAAAGGAAAAUCUUAGUUUAACCUCUUGCUUUGAAUUCAAAAGUGCUUUCAGAUUUUGCUGUGUGAAUUAUCUAAACUCUUUGACUUGCAUCUGGGGUUCCCUCAACCCAGUGGCAGAGGAAGGGGAAAUUUCACAUCAGCUGAAAUCUUUGAACCCCUCUGGGCUCUGCCCACGCGUGGCUGCAGCAGGCUCUGUGAGUGAGGUGGCCCUGUGCCCGUGGCAAGGGACAGAGCAGAGUGCUGGACUUAGUGACCAUUGAAGCCAGAGCUCCAUCUCUGGCCAUAUUCAAAUAAACCUUGGUGCCAAAUCUUUCUGAGCACAAAGCCAUUGGACUGAGCAGAGAAACGUGAAGCAUUCACUGCAGCUAACAGAGGCAAUAUGAAAUACUUUGCUUCUCCACUUGUAGCAUAUUGAUAUUCAAUCAAGCAUUUAAAAGAAAACCAAAUUGUUGACUCAGGGUGAGCUGGUGAAGUGACCCAUGGACUUGAGAUUACUUUUUUCCUCUGUUCUUGCCAUCAACCAGCAGCAAGCAGUCACUAACCCUUUCCUUGAGCUUCCUGCUGCUUCCAGAAGCAAGCAAGGAGUUCCCAGAGGCUGCUCCUUAGUGGUAACUCCUGACUUGUCCUCUAGCUGGAAAUGCAUCUCCAAGAAUUAGGCAGUUAUGCAUUAUUCUUUCAUAUCACCCCUGGCUGCUUUCCACUGGUGGAGCUCUAGCAGCAAGAAGACAAGGUUAAUCUGGGGUAGACUGCAGAGCCUGGCCAUUCACUUAUGCUGUCAGUAAAUGAAAAAAGCUACAAAUCAAAAUAUACUGGUGUGCAACAUCAGUCUGAGCAGUACCAGGCAUCCACUGAAAUUCUGUCCACAGAGAUAUUCACAGGAAAAGAGGAACUGAAACAGGGUUCACAGAAAAUUUGCAAAGACCAGACUGAAACCAGACACAUUAGCAUAACCCAGAAAGUUUUUGGAUAAUCAGGUGUCUGUCUCUGUAGACUCAAAAUUCCCCUCCGGCGCAACUAGCCAAUGUUUGCUUGGGAGGUAGAAGUGAAAAGCCAGUGGAUCUGAAAUCUGAGCUUCCACAAGAAUUUCUCUGGUCGGUGCUCAGCGCUGCCUUCGGGGGAUGCGAAGGCUGGGAGGCAGGAUGUCGGCUCUGGGCUGGCUCCCAGAGCCUGCGGUUAUCGCUCGGGUAAUCCCGCAUGGUAUAGCCGAGCUAAAACUAAAUUGUAUCCAUUUCUUUUCAGCCCAUCUUUCCAGAAGCAAGGAGAUUUUCUUACUCUGAAUAAACACUGAAAUAGUGUUUUUUCCUUAUAACUCUUUGUCUGAGCACUGUAGCUGAAAAUAUUUCCUUUUGUAGCAAUGACUGUCUGUGCUGGCAGUAACUGCACUGGCAGUGGUGCAGACUGGCUCUUUUUACUUGCCUGUGGAAAUUUAAUUUUUCAGUAGGUCCUUUCUCUAAAACAUUUACAAAUCCCACAGAAACAAGUAAGCCUUGGACAUGUGAAAAAUUCCAGGCAUAAACCUUAAAUCAUAAUUUUAAAAGAAAUAUAAAAAGUAAGACAUAUUUUCAUGCCUGCUGUGGGCCUGAAGAUUGCCUUUUACUUUUGAGAAUGAACUGUGCACCCAAAGCCAUGAUAAAUCAUACAUAAAUAAAACCAUACCAUAAUUAAGAGGGCAGAAUUCAGAAGGGGCAGUUCUAAAGUGUUCAUUUAAAGAAAGGUUUUCUCAUCCAUUUCAGAUUUUACUCAAAGAAUGGAGGACUACAGGGUGUUCAGACUCUGGUGGAGAGAAAGGAGAGGAAGACUUUUUUCAUGGGUUGGAAUAAAAGCAGAGUUAGAUGAGGAUCCUGCAAUUUAAAAUCCAACACUGAAUUUGUAUUCCCUAGGCACAACACAGUGAACCUGAAUAAAACAAAUUCAUGCAGAUCAGCUAAAGUAAUGUAUGACAAAUCAGUCUAACCUCACUCUUCUUACAAUAUGACUUCAUUCAUAAAGAAACAUAAAACUGUAUUUUCUUCAUUCUUGCUUUCUCAUUUCUAUUGCUUUCUUCUUCUUGCCUGAAUAAUGCAACUGACCUAAUUCUUCAUAUCAGA